AAUUUGGAGAGUUUGAUCCUGGCUCAGGACGAACGCUGGCGGCAUGCCUAAUACAUGCAAGUCGAGCGGAGUUGUUUUGGAAGCUUGCUUCCAAAACAACUUAGCGGCGGACGGGGG
RNAcentral lists this non-coding RNA (117 nucleotides) under Paenibacillus antarcticus. RNAcentral's name for it is "Bacterial small subunit ribosomal RNA". It matches the Rfam family "Bacterial small subunit ribosomal RNA", at positions 1 to 108 of the family's 1533-position model. The record is from Rfam by way of RNAcentral. Lineage: Bacteria; Bacillati; Bacillota; Bacilli; Caryophanales; Paenibacillaceae.